This 506-nucleotide ribosomal RNA is filed under the name uncultured bacterium. Its description in RNAcentral is "partial 16S ribosomal RNA". It matches the Rfam family "Bacterial small subunit ribosomal RNA", at positions 30 to 523 of the family's 1533-position model. The record is from RNAcentral.
AUUGAACGCUGGCGGCAUGCCUAACACAUGCAAGUCGAACGGCAGCAUGGUCUAGCUUGCUAGACUGAUGGCGAGUGGCGAACGGGUGAGUAAUGCGCAGGAAUAUACCUUAAAGACUGGGACAACUUGGGGAAACUCAAGCUGACACCGGAUGAGCUCUGAGGAGGAAAGCUGGGGACCGAGAGGCCUGGCGCUUUAGGAAUAGCCUGCGUCCGAUUAGCUAGUUGGUGGGGUAAAGGCCUACCAAGGCUGUGAUCGGUAGCUGGUCUGAGAGGAUGGUCAGCCACACUGGGACUGAGACACGGCCCAGACUCCUACGGGAGGCAGCAGUGGGGAAUAUUGGACAAUGGGGGGAACCCUGAUCCAGCAAUGCCGCGUGUGUGAAGAAGGCCUGAGGGUUGUAAAGCACUUUCGGUGGGGAGGAGGAUUGAUUGGUUAAGAGCUGAUUGAUUGGACGUUACCCACAGAAGAAGCACCGGCUAACUCCGUGCCAGCAGCCGCCGUAA